UCUGACACCCACUUUGAACCUGAGAGCUGACGAGCGGGGGUUGUGUUUAUUUCCUCUCCGUUAAUUAUGUCGAAAACAGGGAGAGCCGGUGGCCCUCAGCGGCCGACAAAAACAAUUACUGUAUACAGAAACGGGGACGCCUUUUUUCCCGGGAAGAGGAUAGUGGUGAAGCAGAUAACUUUCGACAGUUUUUUGACUGCUUUGACUUGUGGGCUUGAUGCUCCUUUCGGCGCUGCCAGGAAUUUGUACACACCGAGACACGGACACAAAGUUUUGGACUUGGACGACCUGCAGCAUGGCAGUACCUACGUUGCAGCAGGAGGAGAGAGGUUCAAAAAACUUGACUAUUGGCAUAUUACAUCCAAGAAACCACAGAAAAAGAAGAAUGAGCAGAUCCAGCCUGUAGUUCACAGCAGAAUAGUAGUUCCUGCUCGCUGGAAGAGAAUCAGUGAUGGGUCAUGCACUAUCAAUGUUUUUACCAAUGGCGAGAUUUUGGUUCCUCCAGCUCGGAUACAGAUCCCAAAGUAUACUCUCAAAAGCUGGGAAAACGUCUUAGCCAUGGUAACAGCAAAAGUGCAUCUUCGCACCGGUGCUGUGUACAGGCUUUGCACAUUAGAUGGACGUCCUCUCCGCGGCCUCUCUGAGUUGGAGAACAACAAGCACUAUGUCGCUGUUGGUGCAGAUAAAUUUAAAGCCCUACCUUACAACCUGUGUGUACCCAGAAGGGGAGUAAUCACAGAAAAGGACCUGAUCCAGGGCAUCAGUCAAGACAACCUGCCCUUGCCUAGGAAGACAGCACACGUAAAGGAUGUGUUUGCUCACACAGGCUUUAGAGAGGACCUUGAGCACACAGCCAGGGGCCAGAUGAAGAAACACACAGCCAAGCCAGAGAGAGCCAAACAACAGAGGCAGGUGUCCAGAAUCCCACUUCUCCUCUCAACAGGGGAGGGCAGCGUGUUCAAUGCAAAAAACAAAAGGAGGGAGGUGAUGGGAGCUGCAGAGGUGGAGGAAGAUUGCCAGCUGAAGGUGGAUCUGCCAAUUGAUCAGGUUGAGGCCCAGGUGGUUGAAGAGGAGUGUGAACAUGGGUCUUGUCGUUCUGCCAGCCCAUCCGAGGCCUCCCACUGCGGUUCAGACGGCUCAUGUCCACACAGCUCGAUGUCUGCAAGUUGCAUGAGGGAUGAUACUAAAGAGGAGGAGGUGUCUUCUAAGCUCUGCAGAAUACGGUCACGGGUGUGCUGAAUUUUCAAGGAACAAAGUAAAAAGUCACGUUCCUUGCUUUGAUCUACAUGCCAUGUAUUCAAAAGCCCUGCUGUGCCUCUCGUUCGGCUAGCACCCUGUCCAGAUCACUCGCUGUGCUGGAGUUACAGUAGAGUGACCUUAACUCACAAGCCACAGGAGCACUGACUGGAUUCAAUCCGUGAUCACCAGCCUCCACAUAUGUUGCCCAAGUGCUGUGGGACUCAUUUAAUUGUAAUUAUUUUAUUAGCCUAUACAUUAAACAGUGACUGUGUCAGUCUUUGUGGCAGUCAUUGUUUUACAUACAGUGGCCUUAACUGACUGUGAUGCACUGACACACUUUGAAAAGGGUUGUACAAAUGUAUUUAUUUAUUUACUUAUAUA
Molecule: RNA transcript, 1620 nt
Organism: Myripristis murdjan (pinecone soldierfish)
Lineage: Eukaryota; Metazoa; Chordata; Actinopteri; Holocentriformes; Holocentridae
Gene: dcdc2c
Gene name: doublecortin domain containing 2C
Exons: 13
Source: RefSeq, a predicted model, not a curated record